ACCUCAUCUGCUGAAAACAAGUGUUGGGUUAAAAGCUGGCACUAAUUAUCCAGUCGUAUAACUCACAAACAGUAUGUUCACAGGCUUUGCUUCUCUUUGAAGGGCUUCUUCCGACCUCAUCACCAGGAGCCCUUCCCAGAUCUCAAGUUGUCAGAUCCCCAGUUCUUCCUGCAACGUGAUGAGAUGCCGGGGUCCUUAGGCCUGUCGGGACAGAUCCUCAGAACUCAGCAGCUCUCCCCUUCCCCAGUCCAUGCCAAUCAGGCUGGACUGGGUCUUUCUUUGCUCUGAGGCCACUAUGUUCACAGAGAAGGCAGAUGAGAAGAUGGAGAAGCAGUGGCCAAGGAAAAAAGGAGUCUUUGUACAGGAAAGUCCUCUGAAGGCUAAUGCAGGGUCGCCUGUGGAUUCCUAGGACUGCCAUAACCAAGAACCACAAACAGGGUGAUUGAAAACACCUGAAAUGUAUUGUCUGACAGUUCUGGAGGCCACAUGUCCAAAAUGAAUGAUCAGCAGGACCGUGCUCUCUCCAGAGCCAUCUAGGCAGACAGACCCUGCUUUCUUCUUCCAGCUCCUAGUGUUGCCAGCCUCCUCUGUGGCACUGCUUGGCUUGUGACUGCCCACUCCAGUCUCACGGCCACCUUCUCCCUGUGUCUCUUCACAUCAUCUUCCCUCUGCAUGUCUAAGUCUGUGCUCAAAUUUCCCUUUUGGGGGGAGGGUGGACUGGGGAUUGAACUCAGGGGCACUCGACUGCACCCCAGCCCUAUUUUGUAUUUUAUUUAGAGACAGGGUCUCACCGAGUUACUUGGCGCCUUGUCAUUGCUGAGUCUGGCUUUGAACUCAUGAUCCUCCUGCCUCAGCCUCCUGAGCUGCUGGGAUCACAGCCAUGUGCCAUCGAGCCUGGCUAAAAUUUCCCCUUUUCAUAAGGACACUCACUUAUCCAAUUAAGGCCCAUCCAUAUGAAUUCAUUUAACUUCACUACCUCUGUAAAGGCCCUACUACCUCUAAAUAAGGUCACAUUCUGAGGGACUGGGGGUCAAGACUUCGACAUGCCUUUUGGGGGAUAGAAUUCAACCCCUAACAACAUGGGAGGAGCCAAUUUAAUCGCCAGUGUCAGAGAGGAUCAGCCCAUGGCGGAGUUCCUGCACCCCCACGCCUCACGAACCACACAGGGCCUCUGUGCACAGACCCUAGGGAUAUUCCCAGUGAACCAAAGUGACUGCUAUGCUGGACUUGACCUAUCCCCUCAGAACAACACUAGAGAGGCAGAGUUGGACGUCCCAGAGGUUGCUGCCUGCUGGUCUGUAAUCUUGGGCUCCACAAAAGAAUAGGGCAGGAGGAGGAGUUGGCUGUAUCAGGAGAAGGUGGAUUUCCGGUCACUGGAGGUGUAGUACUGGGUACAAGGUAUAUAAAGAAAUAUGCUUAUGAGGGCUGGGGUUGUGGCUCAGUGGUAGAGGCGAGGCCCUGAGUUCGAUCCUUAGCACCACAUAUAAACAAAUUUUUAAAAAGGUAUUAUAUCUAACUACAACUACAAAAUAAAUAUUCUAAAAAAAUCAGAAAUAUGCUUAUGAAUACAUAAGCACUGUCUCUGGCUUCGUAGAAGUGUUUGCUCGGGGCUCAGACUCAAGAGGGAGUCACAGCAGUCCACCCUGUGGCUUCUCCUUUCAUGGGUGCUCUCUGUGGGGAAGAAAACGUUCGAAGCAUCCAGUACCUGCAGGCUGUCCGCUGCCUGAUGGGCAGGAGAUCAAAACAGCAUUUCAUUCUUUUAUCCACUACUGAAAGAAAGGGGGCAGGUCUAGAAGAGAGCCCCACUCCGUUCACCUCCCAAGUGCAGGCUUCACGGCAGGAGAAUAGUUUAGAUGUUAAUCAGUGAGAAUGUUAGUUAUGUCACUUGCUGAGUUCAUGCAAAUUUGCUAAAUAAUGCUGAUAAGUUUAGUUUGUUCUUAAAAUAUAUGAAGGCAUUUCAAAC
Molecule: long non-coding RNA, 1963 nt
Filed under: Marmota monax (woodchuck)
Lineage: Eukaryota; Metazoa; Chordata; Mammalia; Rodentia; Sciuridae
Source: RNAcentral